AAAGCACUUUCAGUCGUGAGGAAGGUGGUGUAGUUAAUAGCUGCAUCAUUUGACGUUAGCGACAGAAGAAGACACCGGCUAACUCCGUGCCAGCAGCCGCGGUAAUACGGAGGGUGCGAGCGUUAAUACGGAAUUACUGGGCGUAAAGCGCAUGCAGGUGGUUUGUUAAGUCAGAUGUGAAAGACCCGGGGCGUCAACCUACGGAAUAAGCAUUUAGUAAACUAGGCAGACUAGAGUACUGUAGAGGGGGGUAGGAAUUUCAGGUGUAGCGGUGAAAAUGCGUAGAGAUCUGAAGGAAUACCGGUGGCGAAGGCGGCCCCCUCGGACAGAUACUGACACUCAGAUGCGAAAGCGUGGGGAGCAAACAGGAUUAGAUACCCUGGUAG
This 386-nucleotide ribosomal RNA is filed under the name uncultured bacterium. Its description in RNAcentral is "bacterial SSU rRNA". It matches the Rfam family "Bacterial small subunit ribosomal RNA", at positions 427 to 793 of the family's 1533-position model. The record is from RNAcentral.